GUGCCAGCCGCCGCGGUAAUACGAGGGGGGCAAAUGUUGUUCGGAAUCACUGGGCGUAAAGGGAGCGUAGGCGGGCUUCUAAGUUAGGUGUUUAAUCCCAGGGCCCAACCCUGGUCGUGCACUUAAAACUGGGAGUCUUGAAUAGUGGAGAGGUCAGUGGAAUUGGGGGUGUAGCGGUGGAAUGCGUAGAGAUCCCCAAGAACACCAGUUGCGAAGGCGGCUGACUGGACACAUAUUGACGCUGAGGCUCGAAAGCAUGGGGAGCAAACAGGAUUAGAAACCCUCGUAGUCC
RNAcentral lists this ribosomal RNA (292 nucleotides) under uncultured bacterium. RNAcentral describes it as "partial 16S ribosomal RNA". It matches the Rfam family "Bacterial small subunit ribosomal RNA", at positions 505 to 796 of the family's 1533-position model. The record is from RNAcentral.